GAUGAACGCUGGCGGCGUGCCUAAUACAUGCAAGUCGAGCGAACGGACGAGAAGCUUGCUUCUCUGAUGUUAGCGGCGGACGGGUGAGUAACACGUGGAUAACCUACCUAUAAGACUGGGAUAACUUCGGGAAACCGGAGCUAACACCGGAUGAUAUUUUGAACCGCAUGGUUCAAAAGUGAAAGACGGUCUUGCUGUCACUUAUAGAUGGAUCCGCGCUGCAUUAGCUAGUUGGUAAGGUAACGGCUUACCAAGGCAACGAUGCAUAGCCGACCUGAGAGGGUGAUCGGCCACACUGGAACUGAGACACGGUCCAGACUCCUACGGGAGGCAGCAGUAGUGAAUCUUCCGCAAUGGGCGAAAGCCUUACGGAGCAACGCCGCGUGAGUGAUGAAGGUCUUCGGAUCGUAAAACUCUGUUAUUAGGGAAGAACAUAUGUGUAAGUAACUGUGCACAUCUUGACGGUACCUAAUCAGAAAGCCACGGCUAACUACGUG
Molecule: ribosomal RNA, 497 nt
Filed under: uncultured bacterium
Lineage: Bacteria
Description: partial 16S ribosomal RNA
Rfam family: Bacterial small subunit ribosomal RNA
Source: RNAcentral